RNAcentral lists this ribosomal RNA (594 nucleotides) under Aspergillus flavus. Its description in RNAcentral is "eukaryotic LSU rRNA". The stretch from base 213 to 366 matches the Rfam family "5.8S ribosomal RNA". The record is from RNAcentral. Lineage: Eukaryota; Fungi; Ascomycota; Eurotiomycetes; Eurotiales; Aspergillaceae.
UCCGUAGGUGAACCUGCGGAAGGAUCAUUACCGAGUGUAGGGUUCCUAGCGAGCCCAACCUCCCACCCGUGUUUACUGUACCUUAGUUGCUUCGGCGGGCCCGCCAUUCAUGGCCGCCGGGGGCUCUCAGCCCCGGGCCCGCGCCCGCCGGAGACACCACGAACUCUGUCUGAUCUAGUGAAGUCUGAGUUGAUUGUAUCGCAAUCAGUUAAAACUUUCAACAAUGGAUCUCUUGGUUCCGGCAUCGAUGAAGAACGCAGCGAAAUGCGAUAACUAGUGUGAAUUGCAGAAUUCCGUGAAUCAUCGAGUCUUUGAACGCACAUUGCGCCCCCUGGUAUUCCGGGGGGCAUGCCUGUCCGAGCGUCAUUGCUGCCCAUCAAGCACGGCUUGUGUGUUGGGUCGUCGUCCCCUCUCCGGGGGGGACGGGCCCCAAAGGCAGCGGCGGCACCGCGUCCGAUCCUCGAGCGUAUGGGGCUUUGUCACCCGCUCUGUAGGCCCGGCCGGCGCUUGCCGAACGCAAAUCAAUCUUUUUCCAGGUUGACCUCGGAUCAGGUAGGGAUACCCGCUGAACUUAAGCAUAUCAAUAAGCGGAGG